Molecule: ribosomal RNA, 511 nt
Filed under: uncultured Pseudomonadota bacterium
Lineage: Bacteria; Pseudomonadati; Pseudomonadota
Description: bacterial SSU rRNA
Rfam family: Bacterial small subunit ribosomal RNA
Source: RNAcentral
AUGCCGCGUGAGUGAAGAAGGCCUUCGGGUUGUAAAGCUCUUUCGGCUGGGAAGAAAUCGCAUCUCCUAAUACGGGGUGUGGAUGACGGUACCAGCAUAAGAAGCACCGGCUAACUACGUGCCAGCAGCCGCGGUAAUACGUAGGGUGCGAGCGUUAAUCGGAAUUACUGGGCGUAAAGCGUGCGCAGGCGGUUUCGUAAGACAGACGUGAAAUCCCCGGGCUCAACCUGGGAACUGCGUUUGUGACUGCGAGGCUAGAGUAUGGCAGAGGGGGGUGGAAUUCCACGUGUAGCAGUGAAAUGCGUAGAGAUGUGGAGGAACACCGAUGGCGAAGGCAGCCCCCUGGGCCAAUACUGACGCUCAUGCACGAAAGCGUGGGGAGCAAACAGGAUUAGAUACCCUGGUAGUCCACGCCCUAAACGAUGUCGACUAGUUGUUGGUGGGGUUAAACCCAUUAGUAACGUAGCUAACGCGUGAAGUCGACCGCCUGGGGAGUACGGCCGCAAGGUUA